RNAcentral lists this ribosomal RNA (568 nucleotides) under haloarchaeon enrichment culture clone B1A-C21. RNAcentral describes it as "bacterial SSU rRNA". It matches the Rfam family "Archaeal small subunit ribosomal RNA", at positions 340 to 908 of the family's 1478-position model. The record is from RNAcentral. Lineage: Archaea; Methanobacteriati; Methanobacteriota; Halobacteria; Halobacteriales.
CGCGAAACCUUUACACUGCACGACAGUGCGAUAGGGGUACUCCGAGUGCGAGGGCAUAGAGCCCUCGCUUUUCUACACCGUAAGGUGGUGCAGGAACAAGUGCUGGGCAAGACCGGUGCCAGCCGCCGCGGUAAUACCGGCAGCACGAGUGAUGGCCGAUCUUAUUGGGCCUAAAGCGUCCGUAGCUGGCCGUGCAAGUCCGUCGGGAAAUCCAGUGGCUCAACCUCUGGGCUUCCGGCGGAAACUGCUCGGCUUGGGACCGGAAGACUCGAGGGGUACGUUCGGGGUAGGAGUGAAAUCCCGUAAUCCUGAACGGACCACCGAUGGCGAAAGCACCUCGAGAGCACGGAUCCGACAGUGAGGGACGAAAGCUAGGGUCUCGAACCGGAUUAGAUACCCGGGUAGUCCUAGCUGUUAACGAUGCCCGCUCGGUUCGGCGCAGGCUACGAGCCUGUGCCGCGCCUCAGUGAAGACGUAAGCGGGCCGCUUGGGAAGUACGUCCGCAAGGAUGAAACUUAAAGGAAUUGGCGGGGGAGCACUACAACCGGAGGAGCCUGCGGUUUAAUUG